This 157-nucleotide ribosomal RNA is filed under the name Talaromyces phialosporus. RNAcentral describes it as "5.8S ribosomal RNA". It matches the Rfam family "5.8S ribosomal RNA". From Rfam's summary of the family: 5.8S ribosomal RNA (5.8S rRNA) is a component of the large subunit of the eukaryotic ribosome. It is transcribed by RNA polymerase I as part of the 45S precursor that also contains 18S and 28S rRNA. The record is from RNAcentral. Lineage: Eukaryota; Fungi; Ascomycota; Eurotiomycetes; Eurotiales; Trichocomaceae. RNAcentral also lists the same sequence under 4 other names.
AAACUUUCAACAACGGAUCUCUUGGUUCCGGCAUCGAUGAAGAACGCAGCGAAAUGCGAUAAUUAAUGUGAAUUGCAGAAUUCCGUGAAUCAUCGAGUUUUUGAACGCACAUUGCGCCCCCUGGCAUUCCGGGGGGCAUGCCUGUCCGAGCGUCAUU